RNAcentral lists this ribosomal RNA (499 nucleotides) under uncultured bacterium. RNAcentral describes it as "bacterial SSU rRNA". It matches the Rfam family "Bacterial small subunit ribosomal RNA", at positions 28 to 529 of the family's 1533-position model. The record is from RNAcentral.
GAUGAACGCUGGCGGCGUGCUUAACACAUGCAAGUCGAACGGAGAAAGGGUAGCUUGCUAUCUUUUCUUAGUGGCGGACGGGUGAGUAACGCGUGGGUAACCUGCCCUUUGCAGGGGGAUAACAGUGAGAAAUCGCUGCUAAUACCGCAUACCAACUUCUUUCGCAUGAAGGAAGUUUGAAAGAUUUAUCGGCAAAGGAUGGACCCGCGUUGGAUUAGCUAGUUGGUGAGAUAACAGCCCACCAAGGCAACGAUCCAUAGCCGGCCUGAGAGGGUGAACGGCCACACUGGGACUGAGACACGGCCCAGACUCCUACGGGAGGCAGCAGUGGGGAAUAUUGCACAAUGGGCGAAAGCCUGAUGCAGCGACGCCGCGUGAAGGAUGAAGGUCUUCGGAUUGUAAACUUCUAUCAGCAGGGAAGAAAGGGCUUAUAGCCUAUGACGGUACCUGACUAAGAAGCCCCGGCUAACUACGUGCCAGCAGCCGCGGUAAAGACGAG